This 203-nucleotide long non-coding RNA is filed under the name Brassica napus (rape). Its description in RNAcentral is "long non-coding RNA (BNAP_LNC026336)". The record is from RNAcentral. Lineage: Eukaryota; Viridiplantae; Streptophyta; Magnoliopsida; Brassicales; Brassicaceae.
CACAAGUGUUUGGGAGUCUCACAGUAGCUAUAAGCUUCAAGAAGAGGGACAUCAAGAGAUCCUUGCAGCACAGAGAGCACCAUCAAGUCUUCUUGCACCCACUUCUUUGCUUCAGCUUUGGUGAGAGUCUUUUCCUUUUCACCUUCUUCAAUUUUUUUGGCCACUGGCUUCGGACCAUCAUCAGUGAUGUGGCUCCACAGCCC